This 211-nucleotide ribosomal RNA is filed under the name uncultured bacterium. RNAcentral's name for it is "partial 16S ribosomal RNA". It matches the Rfam family "Bacterial small subunit ribosomal RNA", at positions 128 to 334 of the family's 1533-position model. The record is from RNAcentral.
GCCUGGUAGCGGGGGAUAACUAUUGGAAACGAUAGCUAAUACCGCAUAAGAGUAGAUGUUGCAUGACAUUUGCUUAAAAGGUGCAAUUGCAUCACUACCAGAUGGACCUGCGUUGUAUUAGCUAGUUGGUGAGGUAACGGCUCACCAAGGCGACGAUACAUAGCCGACCUGAGAGGGUGAUCGGCCACACUGGGACUGAGACACGGCCCAG